UACGUAGGUGGCAAGCGUUGUCCGGAUUCACUGGGCGUAAAGAGCGCGCAGGCGGUCGUUCAAGUCGCGUGUGAAAGCCCCCGGCUCAACUGGGGAGGGUCACGCGAUACUGAUCGACUCGAAGGCAGGAGAGGGUAGUGGAAUUCCCGGUGUAGUGGUGAAAUGCGUAGAUAUCGGGAGGAACACCAGUGGCGAAGGCGACUACCUGGCCUGUUCUUGACGCUGAGGCGCGAAAGCUAGGGGAGCAAACGGG
This 253-nucleotide ribosomal RNA is filed under the name uncultured bacterium. Its description in RNAcentral is "partial 16S ribosomal RNA". It matches the Rfam family "Bacterial small subunit ribosomal RNA", at positions 524 to 776 of the family's 1533-position model. The record is from RNAcentral.